CCCCGAUGUUACUUAAUGAAAAAUAACUUAUCUUUAAAGGCACGGUUGGUAUUGAUGGAUAAUUUUAUACUGUGUUUUUGCUGUUUUGAAAUUCCUUUAGAUAGAAAUGCAGUUUCCGUGCAGUGCUGCUCAGGAGGCGAAACGGCAAAAGUGCAGAAACACAUUGCACAGCAUUGUCCAAAUCAGUGCAGUUUCUCAAGUGGCCACCAGGCUGUGCUGUCUGAUAAGAAAUGUGGCGUCUCUUCAGCAACAGCCUGCACCUCCAGUCUUGAUGAACCCAGUCUGACUGCACCUGAAUGUUGACAAACCGCAGAGGAAGCACCAACAAAGAAGAGCGAUUAAGGGGAGAUUCCUGGCUCGGUGAAGGUAAGAGGCCAUCAGACUUCCUCUCUUUGCACCUCAGAACAACACUCUAUUGACAACACUUAGACUUGGGAGCCCCCAGCUUCAUGGGGGUUACAGGGUCGGCUCCUGAACAGCCAGAACAUCCACAUCCCCUGCUCUUCAGUGAAGAUGUGUGUUUUAAAGGGUCAGCGGGCUGCCACAUGGACUGAGCUGUGUAGGUGAAUGUUACUUAUGGUUUUGGGUAAACUGAUAUUCAUGUGCGUGAUGUUUGAGGCUGAGAGAAAGGACGUUCUCACUGGCAGAGGACAUAAAAAAUGAGUCAGCCAUGUGAGACCUGGGGUCAUGCAGGGUCAGUGUGGCAGUCAGCGGGUUAGCUCCAACAGUGUUUGAAUAAUAUUUGUUCCUGCCUGUUAAGUUAAAGUAUCAAUUUAUGUAAUACGAGUCUGGAACUGAGGUUAUUUGUGAAUGAGGUGAACUGAGCUGAAGAAAACCUGUUCCCCAUCCAUCCAUUUUCUUCUGUUUAUCCAGGGCCUGGUUGCGGGGCCAGG
Molecule: long non-coding RNA, 893 nt
Filed under: Mastacembelus armatus (zig-zag eel)
Lineage: Eukaryota; Metazoa; Chordata; Actinopteri; Synbranchiformes; Mastacembelidae
Description: lncRNA (ENSMAMG00000027743.1)
Source: RNAcentral